Molecule: long non-coding RNA, 1314 nt
Organism: Rosa rugosa (rugosa rose)
Lineage: Eukaryota; Viridiplantae; Streptophyta; Magnoliopsida; Rosales; Rosaceae
Exons: 2
Source: RefSeq, a predicted model, not a curated record
UAAAAUUUUCAAAAGCAGCUUUAGGUCCAACUAGCUUCUCCCCACAGCUGAUUUUGAGAAGCUACCAAUUGGUUGCUUUUGGAGCUGCUUCGGGGAAAAACACGGAGCAACAGUAGAAACUUAAUGAAAUUUGUUAAACUACCAAUUUUGUCCUCCUCCUUUCCGGAAAAUUACAUUGAAACAAAUAGGGUUCAGCUUUGAUCUUCAUCCCCUCUUUGCCGUCAAAACUACAUUGCAACAUCUGUUGCUCAUCGAACUUCUCCUCCUUCUCUCUCUGCAAAUUGUUGUGCUUGAAAUUCCGGGGCAAGAUAAGCCUCGCAAACUCCACAGGGUCCCAAACCACGAAGCUUCUUCCAGUAGAACCCCACGAUAUGAUCAAAUCCAGCGACGGGUCGUCCACCAAAUCAAAUGUCUUUGCACAAAAACGGCGGCACCGGAGUCUCCUGCAGACACUGAAGCGGCUGCGGCACUCCAAUUUGGGAUAUGAAGUAUAUAGGUUUAAACCUCUUUAGUUUGGGAUAUGAAGUAUAAAGGUUUAAACCUCUUUAGUUAUGCAGUCACUCCAAUUAUAUGUAGAGUUUGGCAGAGAGUGAACACUGCAAACUCUUGAAAGGUCGCCCAUUUCAGUUUCAGGUUGAACUCGCCUAGCACAUUUAUAAUGGAUUUGGAAGUUUUGGGAUUGUUUGCUUGUUUCUGGGUUAUUAGUAUUUACGUUAGGAAAGAUUUUAGAAUCAGAAGUGAUGAAGUUAGUGCUCGUAAAGUAGAUUCUUCUAAUAUUGGCAAAGUAGAGAGAUAUGUAUGAUUCAGUAUAUGGUGGUGGUAGAAUGGACCUAAAAUACUUAUUCAUUUGAUCUGUUUACCAAUCUACCUGUACAUGUUUAUUGCAUUACCAUGGCUAAUAAUAAACUACAGCAUACCUACUAGGCUAAGUAGGCAUCCUGUAUCAGUUGCAUGAGUUAGCCAUUAUAGUUUUUCUUUAAUCCUAUAUAUUGUAAUAGUUUCUUCCCUGACUGUAGCAAGUUCGUACCAUCUUCCGCAGGAUCCUAAUUCAAAGCAUCUAGGAACUAUGGUUUGGGAUGCAUCACUGGUAUUCGCCAAGUUUCUGGCAAUGACUGUAACACUCAAAGCGUUUAGGCAUUGGUAUUGUUCUCUGUGCGCUUUUUACUUUGGUGAUUCAAUGUAGGAUGAGGAACUGUUUUAGCUUGUAGUGCUCAGAAUAUGGUGGAGAAGGGAGUCAUUUAUAAGGCAGCAUUGCCAAAUUUUGUGUAUGAGUUCAUUAUCAUAUGAAUUUCACCACAUUUUUCCUUAUAACAA